GACGUGUGUGAAUCUCGUACGUG
This 23-nucleotide microRNA is filed under the name Eisenia fetida (common brandling worm). Lineage: Eukaryota; Metazoa; Annelida; Clitellata; Crassiclitellata; Lumbricidae. The record is from RNAcentral.